AAUAGCUAAGAAUAUUUGCCCACCCUUUAGAAAUUGAAACUGGUGAAUAUUCAAAACCAUGCAUUCCAAAAGAUUGUUGUUUUGGUCAGUUUUGUAAAACUACUGAAGAUGAGUUAAAUUUUUUAUCUCGCUGCUUUAUGAUGUUAGUAACAGGCUACUUGUCGGGGUGCACUUGGGCUGUUUACAUACAUGUGUUUUGAGGGUAGUAUUGUGCAGGUGGGGAAAAAUGCCAUGAUAUUGUUUUCCGCUGUCGGUAGUUUGGCAUCAAUUUUAAUUACCCCCCCCCCCUCCUUAUUAGAUACAUCGAGAAUAAUUACCGGUGUGAUACCUUGGAAGCUGGUGUAUGCAUAAAGUUAGACCUACUGGAAAUUGCUGAUAUACGCAUGUAGAAAUGAAAAUUUUCUAUCAGCCAUAUAGCCGUAUUCACUAUCCCGAAUUUGUAGAUCGUCAAUCAAAAGGAAAACACAGAUUUCUAGCACUCGGAAGAAAGCGAAAAACAUAAACAAUCCUUAACAUUACUGUCCAUGUAUAUUUAGAUAACUUUUAAAAAAUAUCUAUAAAGCUUUACACUACAGUCAGAUUCCGGUAAUAUUUACAAGACUGUGACGUCACACUCGCGUAAGCCGUCUGACGCGUCUGACGUAUGCAAGACAGCGAAUGUGAAAGUACAUAGAAACUCUACAGGUAAGAUGAGAUUGAGCAUUGUAAUUAUAAAUGUUCAGUGUAAAUUCAAGCCAUUAGGCUUAUUACAUUUAUGUGAUCUAAAGUUCCUAAUGCAACCGCUUAUUUCAGACUGAUGAGAAUUACUUUAGACGGGGUACGUCAACGAAUAGGCACGGCAGCGAAAAUACGGAAGUCACUUCGGGGACGUGUCGCAGAAUCGCAUAACUCUACACGAGAUUAAAAGAAAGAAAAAAAGACAAUGAAGACAACCAUGUAAAAACAAAUUCAAUCAAUUAAAUUAUCAGCAGAUUGAAA
This is a long non-coding RNA of Ostrea edulis (European flat oyster), 978 nucleotides long. RefSeq lists it as uncharacterized. The record is from RefSeq and is a predicted model, not a curated record. The transcript has 2 exons. Lineage: Eukaryota; Metazoa; Mollusca; Bivalvia; Ostreida; Ostreidae.